Molecule: ribosomal RNA, 413 nt
Filed under: uncultured bacterium
Lineage: Bacteria
Description: bacterial SSU rRNA
Rfam family: Bacterial small subunit ribosomal RNA
Source: RNAcentral
ACGAACGCUGGCGGCAGGCUUAACACAUGCAAGUCGAACGCAUCCUUCGGGGUGAGUGGCAGACGGGUGAGUAACACGUGGGAACGUACCUUUCGGUUCGGGAUAACCCAGGGAAACUUGGGCUAAUACCGGAUACGUCCUUUGGGAGAAAGAUUUAUUGCCGAGAGAUCGGCCCGCGUCUGAUUAGCUAGUUGGUGAGGUAACGGCUCACCAAGGCGACGAUCAGUAGCUGGUCUGAGAGGAUGAUCAGCCACACUGGGACUGAGACACGGCCCAGACUCCUACGGGAGGCAGCAGUGGGGAAUAUUGGACAAUGGGCGCAAGCCUGAUCCAGCCAUGCCGCGUGAGUGAUGAAGCCCUAGGGUUGUAAAGCUCUUUCGGCGGGGACGAUAAUGACGGUACCCGCAGAAGAA